AGGUACAAAAUUCAGCCACGUUAAACGACUCCUUAAGAAGCAAGAACUUAGUGGCCGUGAAAUUUUACCUUCGGUUGGGGCGACCACGGGGGAAAGAUGAGCCUCCGAGUGGGUUGGGCCAAACCCCUAAAGCCAAGAGAAAACAUUCUCUAAGCCGCAAAAUAUCUGAACCAAUAAUGAUCCGACUAAAAAGUCGAUCAACGAACCAAGUUACCCUAGGGAUAACAGCGCAAUCCUCUCCCAGAGCCCAUAUCGACGAGGGGGUUUACGACCUCGAUGUUGGAUCAGGACAUCCUAGUGGUGCAGCCGCUAUUAAG
Molecule: ribosomal RNA, 317 nt
Filed under: Rhinichthys obtusus (western blacknose dace)
Lineage: Eukaryota; Metazoa; Chordata; Actinopteri; Cypriniformes; Leuciscidae
Description: partial 16S ribosomal RNA
Rfam family: Bacterial large subunit ribosomal RNA
Source: RNAcentral